Molecule: long non-coding RNA, 2209 nt
Organism: Fundulus heteroclitus (mummichog)
Lineage: Eukaryota; Metazoa; Chordata; Actinopteri; Cyprinodontiformes; Fundulidae
Exons: 3
Source: RefSeq, a predicted model, not a curated record
CAGACGCAGGCUCUCACUGACAAGUUGGUGGGGGUGAGGUUUCUUGCAUUAGUACAUUGACGCGUACAUGUUUUUCUGUUGGCUACAUACAGGAGUUCUCUAAACGAUGCUGUUUUCCUGCAUAGUUUUCAAUCCAGUCUGCAUUGAAACCUGUCAUUCCCAACAAUGUCAUCAUUUCGCUGACUGUCCGUGGACUUGGAGCUUUGCUAAAACCUUCCAGUUGAGAAGAGGUCCUUUUGUCUCUCCCCGGGCGGGGGAGAGAGGGAGAGGAGGGGCAACGCUCCGGGAGGAGGGAGUGAAAAGCGUUGUGUGUGUGGCUCUCCUUGCCUGCGUAGAGCUGUAUGUGUGGUUCCUCUGCCUGAGGAGAACUUAGUGUGUGUGUGCAAGAUUUUCCUUCGGGCGGGGGAGAGAGCUACUUGGCAGUCUUUAACUAACAGGCUAAAAAUAACUCAGCCUGCCAGUGGUUCUGCCCCACUGACAGGCAAAAAAGGCAGACGGAGCCGUCUCCUUCCCCAAACAAAAAAGUCUUUCAAAUACAAAGUUUAAAUACCUGCACCCACAUCUUAACAACAUAACAGCUUCAAAAAGUAUACACACCUUGGUCCACCAAGAUUUCCUUACAACAUUAAAAGUUUCCAAGCACUUUUUAGCUCAUCAACCUAGACAACUUUACCUCUAACAAUGGGACUUGAAUACAAAAAAACAAACAAAAAAAACAAAACAAAAGCAACCAUGCAGUUUCAUUCAUCCAUGGGGUUUAGUCAUCCAAUAAAGCUCUCAUCAUUUAUAAUCACACGUAGACGUCAACAACAAUCACACAUUCUUAAUCAUCACCUUUCAACAUUCCCACAUUCUCACGUUUUCCUUUCACUCUCACUCUCCCGGGAAACUUAUUGUUUUUCUUAAAGGUCCAAAUGUUCAAUGUUCCUGGAUUUUAACUGUGCGCACAGAAAAUUUAAAUCAGGUUUUUAUGGGACCCAGAGCAAAAAAAAAAAAAAAAAAAGUUAAAAAUAAACAUUUAUACUUCACGUGCACCAGCAAGGCCUCUUUGCUUCAAAUUUGAUAGGAGGCUUUAACCUCGUUUGCCUAAACCUGGAGUACUCAACCAAAAACAGACUGCAGUCAACUCUGUUAAGGCCACAUUUUCAUCGGAGUUCCACGCAUGGAAUGAUCCGAGAACUGCCUUAUUCUUCUUCAAGCGCUUACAUUAACAGGGCCGCGCCCUAAAGACUCCGACCAACCGAACAUUUAUAAGAUCAAUUCUUUCAGAAUGAUCUCUUUGAUUCUAAAAAGUUAUGUAUAUUAGAAAAACUUCAGCAAAGACCCGUACUGGUCCGAUUCAUUUCUUAUACGCCGUCGCUUCUAACGUCAUAUUUGACGGGACAUCCGAUAAAAGCGGCUGGGAGUAACCAAUCACUUCUUUAAGUUGUCAUGUGUGCCCAACUGUGGAGGAAGCCAAUAUCAUUCCAAAUCUUUUGAUGUUUAAGACAACUUAUUUUUCUACGUAGAAAAAUACCAAAUAGAUGUCAAGCCAAAGGAACGACCACUCCCGUCUGUCAAUCAAUCACAAACAACGCUCUUCCCAAGUCAAAUUACACAGGCGGCAGAUUCAUCGCUAACAAGCAGAGAGAGCAGAAGACAGAGCAGUAAAAAAUGUAUUUUCACUCACCUCUGUCCUCUCUCCUCCACCCCAGCGCGGAAGGGCCAGUUCCGUGCGGGGGAACCCAAGCCGUCUGUCCGGGAAGGCAAAACUCCCUUUUUUUCCUAUCACGUCGGGGUCACCAAUUUUGUGGGAGAAUUACUUAAUUAUUAACCUUUUAAAAAGAAAGAAAGACUCAGAGAAAAUGGCGUUCCUUUGUCUUAACAACGAGAAUUCGUCUUUAUUAUGCCUAGAAACGUACAAACGGGUUUCAGGAGCGAAUUCUGACAUUCAAAUACAAUGGUCGUCAUUUUAAAGGAUCAUAAUGUGUGUGCGUUAAACACAAGUGUCUGUGUGUCUCCAUUGGUGUGUGUGCGCUACACGCUAUUGACGUCAAUUGGCAACAGGGCUUAAAUUCUGGGAAGUGUUUAUCACAAAAAGUACAACAACAGAGCGAUUAGUUCCACUACUUGACAUAUCUUGGAACAGUCCUAGUAAAUAACCGAUUCCAGAUGUUUCCUCUUGCUCCCAUCGGCGAGAGCCAGGGAAAAAGGUCAAAAUGACCCUAAC